Molecule: ribosomal RNA, 389 nt
Filed under: Stramenopiles sp. MAST-9D
Lineage: Eukaryota
Description: partial small subunit ribosomal RNA
Rfam family: Eukaryotic small subunit ribosomal RNA
Source: RNAcentral
AUUCCAGCUCCAAUAGCGUAUAUUAAAGUUGUUGCAGUUAAAAAGCUCGUAGUUGGAUUUCUGGCGUGCGACCCGGGUCGGCCCGAAAUGGGUCUGUACUAGGAGUCGCGCGCCAUCCUUGGGGCGAGGCGUACUACCAUUAACUUGGCGGUGCGUUGAGCCCCAUCGUUUACUGUGAACAAAUUAGAGUGUUUAAAGCAGGCAUAUGCCUUGAAUACAUUAGCAUGGAAUAAUAAGAUAGGACUUCGGUAAUAUUUUGUUGGUUCAUUAUUGAGGUAAUGAUUAAUAGGGAUAGUUGGGGGUAUUCAUAUUCAAUUGUCAGAGGUGAAAUUCUUGGAUUUAUGGAAGAUGAACAACUGCGAAAGCAUUUACCAAGGAUGUUUUCAUCA